AUUCCAGUUGCAGACUCUUAUCCCAUAGCAUUUGACAAAUCAAAUUGGAAAGGGACCGAGUCUCUUCUUUACUUUUACCUCUUUUAUUUUUAUAUUUAUAGAUCAGCCAGCUGAGCAAAGAAACAAAGAAAUCACAAGGAAGGUGACUUGCUUGGGAUUCCUACUUCAUGGUGAGAUGCCCGCCCUUGCCCAAACCAUAGGAUGCUCUUGACAUAGCCACAGCCUCUGACAUGUGGAAGAAAAUGAGACUGAAGAAGAAAAGCUCUCUGUGAGUUGGGUCCCAACUGCUGGCUCUGCUGCCGGAGCUUAAAACACUGUGUGCACGAAAUGCUGACUGAUUGUUGGGAGCAGGGAAGGAAAUGACAAAUCAGAAGCCUUCUUCACUUCAAACUUUUGUUUCAGGACCAACCUGUUCUUGACGUAUUCUGCAUAAUGGCCAAAUUAUUCCAGAUUAUCUUCAGAUUUCUUUUUCUCCACUGUGUGUUCAUUCACAAAUAAAAUCCAUUUCACAAUGUCA
RNAcentral lists this long non-coding RNA (517 nucleotides) under Pogona vitticeps (central bearded dragon). Its description in RNAcentral is "lncRNA (ENSPVIG00000018530.1)". Lineage: Eukaryota; Metazoa; Chordata; Lepidosauria; Squamata; Agamidae. The record is from RNAcentral.